This 654-nucleotide unclassified non-coding RNA is filed under the name Hevea brasiliensis (rubber tree). Lineage: Eukaryota; Viridiplantae; Streptophyta; Magnoliopsida; Malpighiales; Euphorbiaceae. The record is from RNAcentral.
AAACAAACCAGACUUCCAACAAGAGCACAGAAAUGGUUGAGGAUUUAAUAGAAGCCUACCCACAUCAUGCUACAAUUUAACAUUAGCAUCAAGAGGAGUGGAACAUAAUUUACUUUUGUUCAUAGAAAACCUCUCCAAUAUCUUCUUUGCAUAUGUGCUCUAAUUUACAAACUAUCCAUAUUCAACUUUAUUCACCUCCAAACCAAGAAAAAGACAUAACUCCCUCAAAAUUUUCAUGUCAAAUCAAAGAGACAAUUCAGCCCAAAGAUAAGACACUUCCAUUUCAUCAUUGCUAAUUAUAAUAUAUCAUCAACAUACAGAAGAACAAUAACAUGCAAGCAAUCUUGCUUUUUAACGAACAAACUAGGAUCUGAGUUACAAGAAUGAUAGCCACAAAAUUACAAAUGUUGUGCCAUUUUUCCAUGCUGAGUUCUUGGAGCUUGUUUUAACCCAUAAAGAGCCUUCUUUAGCUUACACGCAUAAUCUGGAUGAGCACUUGAAACAUAACCUCAUGGUUGUUCCAUGCAUAUAUCUUUCUCCAUCUCACCAUACAAGGAAGCAUUCUUGACAUCUAAUUGCCAUAACUUCCAACUAAGACUAGCUGCUAAAUAAAUAACAAUUUGAACAUAUGUCAUUUUUGCCACUGGACUGAAA